AAUCAUUAAAUUUAAAAGAUUUGGCGGUAUUUUAUAAAUUUAGAGGAACCUGUAUAUUAAUUGAUAAUCCACGAUAAGAUUUACUUAAUUAUUUAUGUAUUGCUGUUUAAAAAUUAUUAUUAAUUAAAUUUUUAAAAAAUUAAUUUAAAAUAAUUCAAGUCAAAAUAUAGUUUAGUUAAGAUAUGGGUUACAUUUUAAUUUUGAGAUUGGAUU
This 213-nucleotide ribosomal RNA is filed under the name Agelaia ornata. RNAcentral's name for it is "partial small subunit ribosomal RNA". Lineage: Eukaryota; Metazoa; Arthropoda; Insecta; Hymenoptera; Vespidae. The record is from RNAcentral.